This 537-nucleotide ribosomal RNA is filed under the name Sporobolomyces johnsonii. RNAcentral's name for it is "eukaryotic LSU rRNA". It matches the Rfam family "Eukaryotic large subunit ribosomal RNA", at positions 99 to 648 of the family's 3401-position model. The record is from RNAcentral. Lineage: Eukaryota; Fungi; Basidiomycota; Microbotryomycetes; Sporidiobolales; Sporidiobolaceae.
CGGGAAAAGCUCAAAUUUGUAAUCUGGCGCUUUCGGCGUCCGAGUUGUAAUCUCGAGAAGUGUUUUCCGCGUCAGACCGCACACAAGUCUCCUGGAACGGAGCGUCAUAGUGGUGAGAACCCAGUACACGGUGCGGAUGCCUGAUGCUUUGUGAUACACUUUCGAAGAGUCGAGUUGUUUGGGAAUGCAGCUCAAAUUGGGUGGUAAAUUCCAUCUAAAGCUAAAUAUUGGCGAGAGACCGAUAGCGAACAAGUACCGUGAGGGAAAGAUGAAAAGCACUUUGGAAAGAGAGUUAACAGUACGUGAAAUUGUUGGAAGGGAAACGCUUGAAGUCAGACUUGCUAUUCGGAGCUUGCUUCGAUUCGCAGGCCCGCAUCAGUUUUUCGGGGCGGAAAAUCGUAGAGAGAAGGUAGCAGUUUCGGCUGUGUUAUAGCUUUCUACUGGAUUCGUCCUGGGGGACUGAGGAACGCAGCGUGCUUUUUGCAUGGGCUUCGGCCUAUCCACGCUUAGGAUGCGGGUGGAAUGGCUUUAAACGAC